This 372-nucleotide ribosomal RNA is filed under the name uncultured Bryometopus. RNAcentral's name for it is "SSU rRNA". It matches the Rfam family "Eukaryotic small subunit ribosomal RNA", at positions 585 to 972 of the family's 1831-position model. The record is from RNAcentral. Lineage: Eukaryota; Ciliophora; Colpodea; Bryometopida.
CCAGCUCCAAUAGCGUAUAUUAAAGUUGUUGCAGUUAAAAAGCUCGUAGUUGAAUUUCUGGCUGGACUGGUACUCGGCUUCGGUCGAUAUUAGUCUCAGUCAUCCGUAUGAGAAGCCUUCUCGCUCUUCGCGGGGCGGUUGGUGUAUCAUACAUUUUACUUUGAAAAAAUUAGAGUGUUUCAGGCAGGCCAUUGCUGGGAUACACAAGCAUGGAAUAAUGGAAUAGGACUUUGACCUAUUUUAUUGGUAUAUUAGGUUAAAGUAAUGAUUAAUAGGGACAGUUGGGGGCAUUAGUAUUUAAUUGUCAGAGGUGAAAUUCUUGGAUUUAUUAAAGACUAACUUAUGCGAAAGCAUUUGCCAAGGAUGUUUUCA